This is a long non-coding RNA of Pseudopipra pipra, 4659 nucleotides long. RefSeq lists it as uncharacterized. Lineage: Eukaryota; Metazoa; Chordata; Aves; Passeriformes; Pipridae. The record is from RefSeq and is a predicted model, not a curated record. The transcript has 3 exons.
GAAAAACUGAGUCCAAAAGUGCUGGGAUUUGAGGAGGAGACAAAGAACUUUCUCAAUUCCAGGCAUUUAAGUUCAGUUAUUUGUAAUACCUCUGCAAGUGAAGCCAUCUCCAUAAUAACCAUUAGGACAACGACCACACCUGAUGCUUCCAUCCUGACUUGGCUCACAGUGUACACCAGGAAAACAGGGUGAUACAGCAUGGCUCCCUGAAGAUGCAGUCAUCACAGUAUGUACUGAAGAACUCAUUUCCAUGUCAGCAAGGUGACCACUGAUGGUCCUGAGAGUGUGAGCAAUGUUUCCAGUAACAGCAGGUUGUAAAGAAGCACUUCUCUGAGAAUUAAGUGACUUCCAGGCAGUGAUUGUUUUUACUGUGGAGGCUGGUGGUGUGCUGCUACUGACCAUUUCUGUAGAAAUAAAUCUCUUUGGGACAUCUGUAGAACUGGGAAUAUAGCUUGAGAUGCUUAAAACCUUCUCAAAGGAUGAUUGUUGAAACCCUGCAGCAUGUUAGAAAGAAAGGGGGAAAAAAGUAUGUGAACACAGACUCUUUUCCUUCUGAGCAUGGGGAACGCUUUCUGAACAGAUAAACAUACAGCCCAUUCAUUCUCUGAUUCAAGAAGUCCCUCCAUGUGCUACAUCAGAAUGUAAGCAGUAGAACCUAAGUGGUAGAAUUAGAGAAGAUCAAGGUAUUCUGUUUACAUCCUUUUCCACCCUCACCAUGGCCUUUUCUUGGCUGGAAGAUAAGGAGAAAUCACCAUAUAUAUGAGUUAGAUACCAGAGAUUUCCCCAUACCACGUCAAUAAAGAGAUUUACUGUCAGAGCAGAUUACCAGAUCCAUAUAUGGCUUCCAGCCAGGUUAUUGAAAGAAUUUAAAGAAAAGAUACUGCAUAUGGUUCAUCAGUGUGUCUAAGUGCUAGUAAUAAGCUGAGAGUCCAGAAGCAGAGAUUUAAUCACAAGUAUAGAGAUGAUUUUACUUACUGAUGCACCAUGGACAGUAUUCUCGGUGAAUAAUCCACCACCUUGUUGCAAAAGUAUUACCAUCUUUUACUCUUCAAACUUUUUAAGCAACUUUCUUAAAGUUUCUACAUGGGUUUUAUUAGUAGGUUUUGCAUGUGUUUGCUAAACAACAGAGACUGACUCAGCCUCCUCAUUGAAAGGAGUGCAAAAUGAAUGAAACCUUCUUCAUAUUCUGCCCAAUAAAAGUUGGAAGUCUGUGGAAAGGAGUAAGGCACUGUAAUCCAAGACUGCUGGAAUGCUAUAUGUGGUCAUUUAGCAUUAAGGGGCAGAGGAAGAAUGAAACCCCAAUCCAUUUACAAUAGUCCUAAAAAGUGGUCCACAAAAGGUUAAACUUUACUGAAUCGUAUUAGAGUUCUAUCUCCUAAUGCUGAAAAGCAAACCAUUUUGCAGCUGAUGAAGAGUUAUCCAGCAUUGGCAGUGGAGUGAGAGAGUACCUCCCUUCUCCCUCAACAACAAUUCAGAGAUAAAGGGAAAAGACACACGAGAAUUUCCUGCAAAGAAAGCCCCAGCAGGCACAGACCUGGAAAUGCCAGCAACAGCAUUUAGAGUUUUAGAAUAAAGACAGUCACUUGCCACAUCUUUCACCUUUCCUUUGAGUUAAAGCAGGAAAAUGGCAUUCAACAUAAUGCCAUAAACUUUUGCUUAUCUCAUAUAACAGAUGUUCCUAUCCCCAGGUUACCUAUUUUAUGUCAGUGGUUAGUCACUAAAACAAAAGGCAACUCUAGGAGUGUCAUACAUCACACUCUUAAUAAAAUUACUUGACUGACCUAAGGGAUUUGUUGAUAUUGACAUUUCAGUCUUAUUUUUCAGAUCAGAAUACAACCCCAGCAAUGAAUUAAAUUGUGUCAAACUGAAAAAUUAAACUAACAUAAAACUGACUAGGACCUUUGUUUGACAACUAUAUUCUUAUCAGUAUGUGAAUUGGAAAUUCAAUUCUCUUUAUGAAAAGAAAUCACCUUUAUUCCCUCCAAUUUCUCCUGUGGAAUCCUUCCUUUCAACAUCAGUGUCUUCAAAGCUUUCUAAAAAAAAUAUGUGAAGGCACAUUAGUAGUGCACAGAAGCAGCUACAUUUGUUUCAACUUUAAAUAAAGUAAAAGUUAAAGUUUCAACAGAUAAAAACAACUCAAAAUUCAGAAAGCAGAUAAAAAGUAAAAAAUAUUUCUUAAAUAUUUUUUAAUAACUUUUAAAAAGUUUUUAACAGAGUAUUUUAAAAAUUCAAGUUAUUCAGUAAUUGCAUUGUAAACAAAUAUUUGGGCACCUUAUUUGGCAAAUGCCUUGAUUUGGGUAAAUAAUUCUAUGCUAAUCAAUCUAAUAGAAAAAUAUUUUGUCAAUAAUUUCUCAUAUUAUGAAAAUAAUGAAGAAACCCCCCCCAAAAUUUCAUUGUAUUCUACUUUGAUAUAAAAGAAUUGGGGUGUUUUGUAUGUUUUUUUUCUUGUCACUAGAAGAAGUUUUUUACAGCUAUGAAACCCAGUACAGUCUGAUGUUGCCAUCACCAGAGACACAGUCCUGUUUUGCUGACUACAGAAAAGAGUUUUAAGUUACUGUUAGAAACAUGAAGCAUAAUCAAAGAUAUUUAAUCUAAAUGACAGUAAGAUAGUACUACUCUUCUGAAAAACAAGGAAUUUUACCAUAACAUGACUUCCCAUCUCCUUGCAGAUUAUUUGGGCAUGGACCACAAUAGUAAGAACCAAAAGUAUUGAAGCAAAAUACUCCAGGGAAGCAAGGACUAGAUACACAUUCAUCUACAUCCUCUUGACAGUGUUUACCUGCAUUAAAAUACAGAUUUAAUUUUUUCUAUAAUAUUGUGUCACUAGACUUUGAUGGCAUAUUUAUAAAAGUACAAUGUAUGCCAGUGCUGAAAUAGAGAAAAAAGUAUCUAUAAUUUCAGUACAGCUAAUAAGAACAGCUGACUAGGUUUGCAAUUCACAUUUUUUCAUCUUAUAUUAAGUAUCUUGCUUAUUGCAGAAUAUGGAGAAAAUGAGCUGUGGGAACUACAUGUUUAUCUGCAGGAGAAAUCACACUGUAACCAAACUCAUCAUUCCUAUGUUUCUCCAUAUCGCUGAGUUUACCUCUGUGGAGAAAAACAGUGGAAAUUUGCUUUCAUAGUAAACUAAAAUAAACAACCAUUGUAUUCAUGCAAGAAAAAUCUUGAAGUAUACCAUAUAUCUUUAUCACCAGAACAGAAAAUUUCUUCAUAAUCUAACAGUAAGCUAUUUACGGACAAAAAUUAAAUAAUACAAUUUCAGACAUAUAAUUAGAAACUCCUAUUUAUCACUGAACGUGAUAAAUGUGUGUAAAUAAAGUAGCAAUUUACCUUGAAGUUCAGGUGGACAUUCACAGUAAUAGCUGUUUAUUCCAUCCACACAUCUGCCAAUACCACACUGGUUAAGUCUACAGUCAUCAGUAUUCCCUUCACAGAGAUCACCUUCAAAUCCAGCCACACACACACAAAGAUAUCUUCCACUUCCAGGUGGGAAAUUAAUGUUUGUCACACAUGAGCCAUUAUUUAGGCAAUCACAUGAUUUUACACUGACCUACAAGACAUGCCCAAUAAGACAGUUUUCUAUUUUUUUAAUGAACUAGCAAUGAGUUCUGUAAUUAGAUAUCUUAAAUAUCUUAUUAGUAGGUGUCAUUUUACUGUAAUAUUCAUUACCUCUAUUUCUACCUUAGUUGUUGCAUUGCAGUCAUCUGUCAAAGAAAAUGUUAAUUUAUGGAGAUUUGUUGACACAGCUUUCCACAAAAGGAGACCUGAUGGGGAAAGACUGGCACCUUCUGGACCAGAAUCUAAUGUGAAAUGAAUAGCAGAGCCCUCUGGAUCUGAAGCCAAAAACUGAUAUACAAAAUCUUCUCCAUAAAAAGUCUGUAGCAUAACCUGAGAAGUUUCAAGGACUGGAGGCUGAUUGUCUGUAACAAAGAAGAUGUUUUCAUCUUUUAAGCAAAAGUUACAGUAUACUUAAAAAAAUUAAAAGAAUAAUGUCUUUCUAUUAAGGAAGUCACAUUGAAUUUUUUCUCUUAAAUUCUAAUGCCAUUGGUAUGGCACAGAAAAAACACUUGAUAUUUUCAUUUUAACUAUAGCAACAUAACCAAGAAAUUACUUUUACUUUGCAAAAGCUUGUAAUGCACUGCAUCUAUACAUCAAAAAAAAAAAUUUAUUGAAUUUAACCACUAUAUUUUAACUAUAUGACUAUAAGAUGGAAAUCCCUUGACUUCCUGACUGCUGGAUGAGUUUCAUUUCAUUCCUUUCAUUCAGGUUUCACUCUUUUGAAAUAGGUAUAGCUACGUUGGCUUUCAGUACAAGUUUGAAUGAGGACAAGAUUCACCAACACAGGCACCAGGAGUCCCAUUCACACAAGACCCUUUACAAUCGAGGCAGAGUCUUGCCAGAACAUUCAUACACAUAAACACCAAUGCAAAAUACAAAAUCUGAGCCAAAAGAACAAUUUCUAGUCUAGAACUUUAUACUAUGGAAAAGGAAAAUCUUAGGUCUUCUUUACAUAGUGUGGUUUCUAAAUGGACUGAAAUAUGAAAACUUUGGAUAUACUUUCAAAUAUUUAGGCCAUGUGUCUAUGCCAUUGAUGUAGAUGAUGUCCAAAUAUUAAGGGCCUAAUAAAUAUCACAUGUCAUUUAAUUCAGUUUGUGAUCUCCA